This is a long non-coding RNA of Drosophila rhopaloa, 401 nucleotides long. RefSeq lists it as uncharacterized. The record is from RefSeq and is a predicted model, not a curated record. The transcript has 3 exons. NCBI's taxonomy places the organism in Eukaryota, Metazoa, Arthropoda, Insecta, Diptera, Drosophilidae.
GGGGAAGUCGUUUGAAUGCCUCGUUGAGUAAGCAUCUCGACAUCGCACAUUCAAUAGACUUUGGCUGGCGAGGCACCCAAUCAGUGCUAAACACAUUGGCAUUUCGCUAAAUGAGUGUGGGUACAUAACUCAGGGCCCAACAAUGCCGCUUUCAGGCCCAUCCGACUGCCAAGGCGGUUGCACUAAUUGCGCUAAUAAUGGGGAUUACCUCAGAGAGCAGUCUGGUGCCGCUUGAAAACGCAGCGAAAGAUAAUAUUGAAUCUUCAAUCUUCAGAUUUUGAUAAGACCUUAAACUUAAAACUUUACAUCGAACCGUAAAGAUGGCUAGAACUAGUGUUUAAAUCAGAGCUUAAAUAAAUAAUUGUUCAAAAUUUGUCCAAAAUUUAAAUGUAUAAAAUUAG